AGUCCCAUUAGUUUUCUUUGCAGCCUCGUUUGAAUGUCGCGGUUGCGCACAUUUGUAUGGGAUUAGCGUACAUUACCCCUGUUAUUAGGAUGACAUCUUCUUCCCUGAAAAGGUUUUCAUCCUGGAGAAGACUGUGCAUGAGGCAGAGGAGGAGAGAACAGUUAGUACAGCAUGCCAAACUGACCCCUGGGUGCCAGAGUGUUCCUGUGCUGCGAUGGAGAAGAGGUCCACCGGGACCAUCACUAAAGAACUCGGGGCCCAGCUAGAUUGAGCUCACGACCAUCAGUAUGCAACCGAGUCCUGCCCCUAUACGCCACAGAUGGAGCUGACGGAGAGUGAGAUCAGUGAAGACCAGAACUCGCUGUAUGAAACUGAGAGCUCAGAAUCACAGUCAUCACAGUCCUAGCCAAGAUAAACUGUCUAUCACUUUGGGGGAGCGGGGUGGUGUUACGAAAAUGGAGAAGGAGCAGGCCUUUCAACAGCAAAUUCAAAGAUGCACCCAUCCAUGAAGGGAAUCUGAGUGGAAUUGUUUUUCCACAGAUUUUUUUACCCUUUUCAAUGGAUGUGCUAACCUUGUCCCGGUUUGGCUGUUUCGACUCUCUCUCUCAACCUAUUCAUGCUCAGCUACGAAAAACCAACUGACAUUUGCUACUGAGGUGUUGAACUGUUGCACCCUCUAUAACCACUGUGGUUAUUAUUUUGAUGUGAAAAGGGCUUUUGUAAAAUAUAUUUGAUUGAUUGAUUGUUUGCUGUGCUGGAUGCUGUGUAUUCACUAAACGUCUGAGUGAUGGGACUUUUUUAUACAGUAUCUGUAACAUAUGUUGGUGUGUAUUUCAUCUGCAUCUUAACUUAUUAAAGGGUCAAUCAGCAGUAGAAACAAUAACACAGUGACUCCCUGGUCCUUAUUUGGUAAAAAGCGGAGGGAUGGGGCUGGAGAAAUGUAACCACUCUCAAAUUC
Molecule: long non-coding RNA, 958 nt
Organism: Salvelinus namaycush (lake trout)
Lineage: Eukaryota; Metazoa; Chordata; Actinopteri; Salmoniformes; Salmonidae
Exons: 3
Source: RefSeq, a predicted model, not a curated record